RNAcentral lists this microRNA precursor (180 nucleotides) under Oryza rufipogon (brownbeard rice). RNAcentral's name for it is "MIR812 microRNA precursor family". It matches the Rfam family "MIR812 microRNA precursor family". Lineage: Eukaryota; Viridiplantae; Streptophyta; Magnoliopsida; Poales; Poaceae. The record is from Rfam by way of RNAcentral.
UUUAAGUGCAGUUGUGGGUUUCCGUAUUCAACCUUCUGUCUUAUUUGAAAUUUUAUUAGUAGUAUCUUUAUUGUUAUUAGAUGAUAAAGACAUGAAUAAUACUUUAUGCCUGACUUAUUAUUUUUAUUUUUUGUCAUAAACUUGUUAAAUAAAACAGACGAUACUAAAAUCGCACUUAAA